GAGCCCCCUCACCAUGUGAUGUCCCAAGCUGCCUUGGGACUCUGCAGAGGGUCCCCAUAAGAGGAAGGCCCCGACUAGAUGGAAUCCUUUGUCCCUGGACUUCUCAGCCUCCAGAACUGAUUCCCCAGGAUCAACCAUCUGAGCAGAUACCUUGGAAUGUCCCCAGAUUUCAGAGCCUCGGACCAGCAGCAACACACUCUGAAGUAGGUCUCAGAAGACAAAAAGCUGAAAUCAACUCAUGCUUCCUGCUACACAGAAUCCACUGAGAGGAAAAGGAAACUUCACCGAAACUUCAGAAAGCUACAGAAAUGACAUCCAUUUUCACAAUCCCAGAAGGAAAGAUGCAUCUGAAGGGAAUAAAAACAGAGCAAUGGAAGAGUAUUUGUUAAAAUAAAUGGCUUUGACAGGGCAUUUUCUCUAAAGGUCUCCUUUGCCUCAAAUAGUACUCCUGCCUUCAGUCCAUCUUGCAUGCCACCCAGCUGUGGGCAUCCUGGCAGUUGCUGCCAUGUCCUUGCCUAAAAGCCUCCACCCCCAACCAACCCACC
RNAcentral lists this long non-coding RNA (545 nucleotides) under Homo sapiens (human). Its description in RNAcentral is "HSALNT0298095". Lineage: Eukaryota; Metazoa; Chordata; Mammalia; Primates; Hominidae. The record is from RNAcentral.